UGGGAAUAUUGCACAAUGGGGAAACCCUGAUGCAGCGACGCCGCGUGGAGGAAGAAGGUCUUCGGAUUGUAAACUCCUGUUGUUGGGGAAGAUAAUGACGGUACCCAACAAGGAAGUGACGGCUAACUACGUGCCAGCAGCCGCGGUAAAACGUAGGUCACAAGCGUUGUCCGGAAUUACUGGGUGUAAAGGGAGCGCAGGCGGGAAGACAAGUUGGAAGUGAAAUCUAUGGGCUCAACCCAUAAACUGCUUUCAAAACUGUUUUUCUUGAGUAGUGCAGAGGUAGGCGGAAUUCCCGGUGUAGCGGUGGAAUGCGUAGAUAUCGGGAGGAACACCAGUGGCGAAGGCGGCCUACUGGGCACCAACUGACGCUGAGGCUCGAAAGUGUGGGUAGCAAAAC
Molecule: ribosomal RNA, 400 nt
Filed under: uncultured bacterium
Lineage: Bacteria
Description: bacterial SSU rRNA
Rfam family: Bacterial small subunit ribosomal RNA
Source: RNAcentral